This 29-nucleotide non-coding RNA is filed under the name Homo sapiens (human). The record is from RNAcentral. Lineage: Eukaryota; Metazoa; Chordata; Mammalia; Primates; Hominidae.
UGGACAAUACGUUUCUGGUGACAGCUUGC